This 338-nucleotide ribosomal RNA is filed under the name Segatella copri. RNAcentral's name for it is "bacterial SSU rRNA". It matches the Rfam family "Bacterial small subunit ribosomal RNA", at positions 1 to 328 of the family's 1533-position model. The record is from RNAcentral. Lineage: Bacteria; Pseudomonadati; Bacteroidota; Bacteroidia; Bacteroidales; Prevotellaceae.
ACAAUGGAGAGUUUGAUCCUGGCUCAGGAUGAACGCUAGCUACAGGCUUAACACAUGCAAGUCGAGGGGAAACGACAUCGAAAGCUUGCUUUUGAUGGGCGUCGACCGGCGCACGGGUGAGUAACGCGUAUCCAACCUGCCCACCACUUGGGAAUAACCUUGCGAAAGUAAGACUAAUGCCCAAUGAUAUCUCUAGAAGACAUCUGAAAGAGAUUAAAGAUUUAUCGGUGAUGGAUGGGGAUGCGUCUGAUUAGCUUGUUGGCGGGGUAACGGCCCACCAAGGCGACGAUCAGUAGGGGUUCUGAGAGGAAGGUCCCCCACAUUGGAACUGAGACACG